Molecule: small RNA, 1165 nt
Filed under: Pan troglodytes (chimpanzee)
Lineage: Eukaryota; Metazoa; Chordata; Mammalia; Primates; Hominidae
Description: retained intron
Source: RNAcentral
GCUUGUGGAGGCCACAGAGGAGCUGCGGCGUGAAAUUGAGGAGGCCACUGAGCACCUGACUCAGCUCGAGGCAGAGCUGACAGAUGUGCAAGAUGAGAACUUCAAUGCCAACCAUGCACUAAGUGGUCUGGAGCGAGAUACGCUUGCACUUAAUCUCACACUGCGGCAGCUCGACCAGCAUCUUGACUUGCUCAAACAUUCAAACUUCCUGGGUGAGUUGUUAGCCAACUAGGCAGGUGGACCAGGGUCAGUCUUCAGCUGACUGUCUGCCUCUGCCCAAUUUAGGUGCCUAUGACAGCAUCCGGCAUGCCCAUAGCCAGUCUGCAGAGGCAGAACGUCGUGCCAAUACCUCAGCCCUGGCAGUACCUAGCCCUGUGAGCAACUCGGCAAGUGCUCGGCAUCGGACAGAGGCACUGAUGGAUGCUCAGAAGGAGGACUUCAACAGCAAACACAUGGCCAACCAGCGGGCACUUGGCAAGCUCUCUGCCCAUACCCACACCCUGAGCCUGACAGACAUAAAUGAGCUGGUGAGGUUCAAGUGUUGGGUGGGGCAGGUGGGUGUAGAUGUUCCUCUCACAGGGCCCUGACUUGUUCUGUGCCUGGCAGGUGUGUGGGGCACCAGGGGAUGCACCCUGUGCUACAAGCCCUUGUGGGGGUGCCGGCUGUCGAGAUGAGGAUGGGCAGCCCCGCUGUGGGGGCCUCAGUUGCAAUGGGGCAGCGGCUACAGCAGACCUAGCACUGGGCCGGGCCCGGCACACACAGGCAGAGCUGCAGCGGGCACUGGCAGAAGGUGGUAGCAUCCUCAGCAGAGUGGCUGAGACUCGUCGGCAGGCAAGCGAGGCACAGCAGCGGGCCCAGGCAGCCCUGGACAAGGCUAAUGCUUCCAGGGGACAGGUGGAACAGGCCAACCAGGAACUUCGAGAACUUAUCCAGAGUGUGAAGGACUUCCUCAACCGUGAGCCUCCCACGUGUCCCAGGCCAUGUGGUUGUCCCCUUUGGCAACUCCCGGUGUCUGUAUCUCCCUUGGUUCAUACUUGAGCCUCAGGGACUACACUGGAUUAGUGUUUAUGAUCCAUUGACUGGCUCCUGAGUUAUUGCCCAUAUGUGGUCCCAGGUCCAUGUUCUUGAGUCUGAGCCCCUUGUAUAGUCCCUGUCCUUGUGAUUA